This 391-nucleotide unclassified non-coding RNA is filed under the name soil metagenome. Its description in RNAcentral is "partial contains 5.8S ribosomal RNA, internal transcribed spacer 2, and large subunit ribosomal RNA". The stretch from base 1 to 122 matches the Rfam family "5.8S ribosomal RNA", at positions 35 to 154 of the family's 154-position model. The record is from RNAcentral.
GAUGAAGAACGCAGCGAAAUGCGAUACUUGGUGUGAAUUGCAGAAUCCCGUGAACCAUCGAGUCUUUGAACGCAAGUUGCGCCCGAAGCCAUUAGGCCGAGGGCACGCCUGCCUGGGCGUCACACGUCGUUGCCCCCCCAUCUACUCCUUCGGGAUUGCGGGGGGCGGAUGAUGGCCUCCCGUGCGCCUCGCCGCGCGGUUGGCACAAAUGCCAAGUCCUCGGCGACGCACGCCACGACAAUCGGUGGUUGCGAAACCUCGGUAGCCCGUCGUGUGCGGUCGUCGCGCAUCGAGGGCUCGAAAAAAUUGCCGGGUUCCGGCUCGGCUUUCAACGCGACCCCAGGUCAGGCGGGGUUACCCGCUGAAUUUAAGCAUAUCAAUAAGCGGAGGA